RNAcentral lists this ribosomal RNA (305 nucleotides) under uncultured bacterium. Its description in RNAcentral is "bacterial SSU rRNA". It matches the Rfam family "Bacterial small subunit ribosomal RNA", at positions 333 to 655 of the family's 1533-position model. The record is from RNAcentral.
AAGUGCCUACGGGAGGCAGCAGUGGGGGAUAUUGCACAAUGGGGGAAACCCUGAUGCAGCGACGCCGCGUGGGUGAAGAAGCGCCUCGGCGCGUAAAGCCCUGUCAGCAGGGAAGAAAAUGACGGUACCUGUAGAAGAAGCCCCGGCUAACUACGUGCCAGCAGCCGCGGUAAUACGUAGGGGGCAAGCGUUAUCCGGAUUUACUGGGUGUAAAGGGGGCGCAGACGGCGAUGCAAGCCAGGAGUGAAAGCCCGGGGCCCAACCCCGGGACUGCUCUUGGAACUGCGGGGCUAAGGUGCAGGAGG